Molecule: ribosomal RNA, 315 nt
Filed under: Escherichia coli
Lineage: Bacteria; Pseudomonadati; Pseudomonadota; Gammaproteobacteria; Enterobacterales; Enterobacteriaceae
Also listed under: 3 other names
Description: partial 23S ribosomal RNA
Rfam family: Bacterial large subunit ribosomal RNA
Source: RNAcentral
GGUUAAGCGACUAAGCGUACACGGUGGAUGCCCUGGCAGUCAGAGGCGAUGAAGGACGUGCUAAUCUGCGAUAAGCGUCGGUAAGGUGAUAUGAACCGUUAUAACCGGCGAUUUCCGAAUGGGGAAACCCAGUGUGAUUCGUCACACUAUCAUUAACUGAAUCCAUAGGUUAAUGAGGCGAACCGGGGGAACUGAAACAUCUAAGUACCCCGAGGAAAAGAAAUCAACCGAGAUUCCCCCAGUAGCGGCGAGCGAACGGGGAGCAGCCCAGAGCCUGAAUCAGUGUGUGUGUUAGUGGAAGCGUCUGGAAAGGCG